UACGAUGUGGGCCGUGAAUGUCCUUGCGCCUAUAAAAAGAGAUCUCACUUGAAAGAAUAAAAAGAGAAAACUGUGCGGACAGUUGAGUGACAUUGUCAGAGAAUCCUCAAAGAAGCUGCCUUGAUACGAUGAUCAUCCAAGGCUGUUCUUCGCAGCCCACAUCAGGCCCAAGAAGCUGCUUCUCCACCUUCUUUUUGUUGCCGAAUUCGAACAGAUAUAGUUUCAAGAAGAGGGCUACAACAUUGAAGCAUGAAUUGGAUGUUGUCAGCUGUCGUUUCAACUCACCGUCCACAAAUUUCAGGAUUCAGGCAUUAGAAGCCAACAAGUUGGAUGGUGUUAAAGCAGAAGGUUCGAGAACAAAUUUACAGUAUGAUCAUCUUACAUGGCCUUCUCCGAGUGACAAAGUUCCGUUCUGGAAGAGGGAGUUUCCAUCUUGGGACAUCAGCGACAGCGGCCAUGUUGACAUCCGGAAGGAUUCUGACCCUAUCCAUAUCAUUCAUGUCACAGCUGAAAUGGCACCCAUAGCUAAGGUGGGAGGUCUUGGGGAUGUUGUGACCGGGCUAGCCCGUGCUUGUUUGGUGCAUGGCCAUACUGUGGAUGUCUUUCUACCUUUCUAUGAAUGCAUCAACAAACAGCGUAUCAAAGAGCUCACACUGAUCAGUACGUAUGGCUCGUAUCAUGAUGGGAGCUGGAUCCCCACGAACGUCUAUCGUGGAGUAGUUUUUGGAAUUCCUGUUGUAUUUAUUGAACCGACUAACCAUUUCUUCAAGGGACAAAGCGUGUACGGAGGUUCAUAUGAUGAACUGGAAGCGUAUUUGUUCUUUAGUCGUGCCUGCCUCGAAUGGCUGCAGGUCUCUGCAACUCAGCCCGACAUUAUUCAUGUCCAUGAGUGGCAGACUGCUGGUUUGCCGUUGCUCUACUGGGAUAUGUAUCAGUAUCUGUCCCUUCAGAAACCACGAAUUGUGUUGACGAUCCAUAAUCUGGAGCACUAUGGAGAAUGCAGGCAAGAGCAAUUGAACAAGUGCGGUCUUGAUGGAUCCGCAUAUGCGACUGAAGAGAAGGCUAUGGAUGAUAGAACAAUUGGGCACAACCCCGAGAGAUUAAGUUUGCUAAAAGGAGGCAUUGUCUACAGCAAUGCGGUAGUUACAGUUUCUCCAACAUAUCUCAAGGAAACACUUUACUCGGGAUGGCUUGCUGCAACACUGAUACGACAUCGUGACAAGUACUUCGGUAUUUUGAACGGAAUAGAUACUGCAAUUUGGAACCCUGCCACAGAUGCAUUCUUGCCUGCUAAGUUUGAUGCUAACCAAAUCGAAGGGAAAAAGAUCUGCAAGCUUUAUGUGCAAAGAGGGCUUGGUUUGGUUCCCGAAGAACAGGACUCUGCUAAGGUGCCCCUGGUCGUCUGCAUCACUCGUUUAGUUGCUCAGAAAGGUCUCCAUUUGAUCACUAAUGCAAUCAGACAUGUAGAAGCCCUUAAUGGACAAAUGAUCAUUUUGGGGACUGCUCCAGAUGCUCGAGUUGGCAGUGAAUUUGAAGGUCUUGCUCAAUUGCACAAUGAAGGUUCUAGCAUUCGGAUUCUUCAGAUGUACAGCGAGGAGCUGUCCCACAUGCUCUAUGCAGCGGCCGACAUUGUGUUGGUUCCAUCCAUAUACGAGCCAUGCGGACUCUCUCAGAUGAUUGGGAUGCGCUAUGGAGCGGUUCCCCUGGUCAGAAAGACUGGUGGUCUUGCAGACACUGUUUUCGACAUGGAUGAUCAGUCACAUUCUGAGAUUGCGAACGGGUUUGUUUUCGAAGGGAUCGAUGAAGGAUCGUUGAACUGCACUCUAGAUCGUGCUUUUUCUUUCUACCGCGAGAGUCCUUACCGCAUUGACACGAGACAAUAAGGCCAAACGCAAACACUAUAAGAGAAUCCUGGACACGAAUACAAACACGAUACGACACAAGCAAACACGUACUUGAAACCCACAACAGCCCUACAGAGUCUAAAUUCCCUAAGUUUAAUGGUUUAGUUUUAUCGUGUCGGCCCGAUAGCAGGUUACACGUGUCCUUAUUGUGUCGAAAUGAGCCUAAUGAAUGGAGGGACACGGUGAAGAAGGUUUUGCAGAUGGAUAAUAGCUGGAACAAUGCAGCAGGAAAGUAUAUUGAUGUCUAUAACAAUGUCAGAGUUGAACAUCAUUGAAAAUAUGUCAACUCCCACUCAUCAAUAAACAACCUAUCUUUGUAUCA
Salvia splendens (bonfire salvia) is the source of this 2226-nucleotide RNA transcript. It is a transcript of the gene named glycogen synthase, with no coding region annotated. The transcript has 16 exons. Lineage: Eukaryota; Viridiplantae; Streptophyta; Magnoliopsida; Lamiales; Lamiaceae. The record is from RefSeq and is a predicted model, not a curated record.